RNAcentral lists this ribosomal RNA (460 nucleotides) under uncultured bacterium. Its description in RNAcentral is "partial 16S ribosomal RNA". It matches the Rfam family "Bacterial small subunit ribosomal RNA", at positions 338 to 795 of the family's 1533-position model. The record is from RNAcentral.
CCUACGGGUGGCAGCAGUGAGGAAUAUUGGUCAAUGGGCGUAAGCCUGAACCAGCCAAGUCGCGUGAGGGAUGAAGGUUCUAUGGAUCGUAAACCUCUUUUCUACGGGAAUACAGUGUGGGACGUGUCCUAUUUUGUAUGUACCUUAUGAAUAAGGAUCGGCUAACUCCGUGCCAGCAGCCGCGGUAAUACGGAGGAUCCGAGCGUUAUCCGGAUUUAUUGGGUUUAAAGGGUGCGUAGGCGGCCUUUUAAGUCAGCGGUGAAAGUCUGUGGCUCAACCAUCGAAUUGCCGUUGAAACUGGGGGGCUUGAGUAUGUUUGAGGCAGGCGGAAUGCGUGGUGUAGCGGUGAAAUGCGUAGAUAUCACGCAGAACCCCGAUUGCGAAGGCAGCCUGCCAAGCCAUGACUGACGCUGAUGCACGAAAGCGUGGGGAUCAAACAGGAUUAGAUACCCCUGUAGUC